Molecule: ribosomal RNA, 453 nt
Filed under: uncultured Parabacteroides sp.
Lineage: Bacteria; Pseudomonadati; Bacteroidota; Bacteroidia; Bacteroidales; Tannerellaceae
Description: partial 16S ribosomal RNA
Rfam family: Bacterial small subunit ribosomal RNA
Source: RNAcentral
ACGGAAGGCAGCAGUGAGGAAUAUUGGUCGAUGGACGGAAGUCUGAACCAGCCAAGUCGCGUGAAGGAUGAAGGUAUUAUGUAUUGUAGACUUCUUUAGCAGUGGAGUAAUAAGGGGAUCGCGAUCCCUGAUGCAAGUACACUGAGAAUAAGGAUCGGCUAACUCCGUGCCAGCAGCCGCGGUAAUACGGAGGAUCCGAGCGUUAUCCGGAUUUAUUGGGUUUAAAGGGUGCGCAGGCGGCUUUUUAAGUCAGUGGUUAAAUCGUGACGCUCAACGUCAUCACGCCAUUGAUACUGGAGAGCUUGAUUGCGGUCGAGGUUUGCGGAAUUCGUUGUGUAGCGGUGAAAUGCAUAGAUAUGACGAAGAACACCGAUUGCGUAGGCAGCAGACCAGGCCGUAAAUGACGCUCAUGCACGAAAGUGCGGGGAUCGAACAGGAUUAGAUACCCUGGUA